GGGCUUUGCACUUGGGUUUCUUUGGGAGGUAAAAGCUGGCGUGUGACCCAAUUUAUCACUUGGGAGCCUUCAGUUCAUCUCAGCUUCCUUAAUCCCCAAGUAGUGACUUUCCUGGGUCUGCUGGAGCUUGGUAUCCAGGACAGAGCAUGUGCUGUUUCCCACUGGGGCUGAUCCUAUCAAUCUUGCUUCUGGAAACGCUGUCAAGACUGGGGCGCCUGAAAGGGUAGCCACAGUGGCUCUCUCGACUAGCCUGCUAUGCCAGCCGGGGGCCCACAGGCAGACACUGUAUGUAGCCCAUUGCCCUCUGCUCUGGGAUAACAAAGCCAGGGCAAGAGGACAAAAGAGCAAGCUGCUCCCAUUUGUAAUUCAGAAGACCAGAAAUUCACAUUCCUGUAGCCAACACUAUUUGGUUUGAAGAAAGACAGCUUACACAGUGAGCAGGGGGCUAUUUCUGCUCCACUCCCAUCCAGUGUACAAGCCCAGAAGACCCUUUUGGGUGGAUUGGGCACCCCCAUCUCUGUCUUAGUCCUAGUCUAGGAGGCUUGUCAUAGCCUUUCUCCCAUGCCUGUGCUCUUUGGCUCCUACCAGCAGGAAGCUGUGCUUUUUUCCUUGGCCCUGAAAGCUGUGGGAAGGUAGAAACUGGGGUUCUGAGUCCCUGGGCGACUGGGCCUGGGUCUUACCUCCCCCACCCCUCCUUACUCCUUACCCAGCUAGUGUUCUGGAGAUGGCUGCACUUGGAGCUUGAAUGCCCUGCACUUUACUCAAAGACAGCCCAGACCUUAAACAGCCAUACUCCCCAUGCAAACCCUCCCCUGUCUACCCUGUGCAGACUCCUGGUGUGAUCAAUUGGGGAGCUGGGCUAGGAAGAUUGCUGAGUGGACCAACAUGUCUGUUAGAACACACACAUACACACCUGGCUUCCUGAAGCCAGAGGAGAGAAUGGUCGAUAGUAGGACUGUGGCCGAGGUUCCUCCAGUUCAUCUGCAAAAAUAUGUUGGCAGGUGGUCAUACAGACAUUUACAGUGUUGACCCUGGGCCAGACACUGGGAACAGUGCUUAUGAAAAGAAGGGGCACAGUCCCUGCUUGCAAAGACCUCAGUCUAUUGGGAAAGGUGUGGCUUCCCUUCCCCCAGAGUGAAAUGACAGCCAGACUCCUCUCCCUGAAGCAGUGGCUUGUGGCUGAUGCAAGCCUUGUUUAGGAUGGGCUGACCCACCUGGAAGGUGAGCAACUGGGAACAGGCCCAGAUAACCUUGACUCCACCCUAAUAGUUGCCUUCACAACCCACGGCUGAUGCCCUCAUCCCUGGCAACUUGACCUGCCCCAUCUCCAACCUCGGCUACCAGGUUACCUCAGCAAACAAACCCCCAGAAGCCAGUGGAGUGAGUCAGAGCCUUGGGUCCCUCACCAAUCCUUGGUUCCCACACCCAGGAAUUCAGUGCCCAAGAUGCAUGUCUGGAUGCUUCAGGCAAGAGGAGACACUGGGACCUGGUCUGGCUUCUACCAGGAAAGAGUCAACUAGAUGCCAGGUUUCCAGACACAUAUGAGAGAGCCAGGAAACUGUGGGGUG
Molecule: long non-coding RNA, 1568 nt
Filed under: Marmota monax (woodchuck)
Lineage: Eukaryota; Metazoa; Chordata; Mammalia; Rodentia; Sciuridae
Source: RNAcentral